RNAcentral lists this transfer RNA (77 nucleotides) under Candidatus Equinaster intestinalis. RNAcentral describes it as "tRNA-Arg". It matches the Rfam family "tRNA". Rfam says of the family: Transfer RNA (tRNA) molecules are approximately 80 nucleotides in length. Their secondary structure includes four short double-helical elements and three loops (D, anti-codon, and T loops). Further hydrogen bonds mediate the characteristic L-shaped molecular structure. tRNAs have two regions of fundamental functional importance: the anti-codon, which is responsible for specific mRNA codon recognition, and the 3' end, to which the tRNAs corresponding amino acid is attached (by aminoacyl-tRNA synthetases). tRNAs cope with the degeneracy of the genetic code in two manners: having more than one tRNA (with a specific anti-codon) for a particular amino acid; and 'wobble' base-pairing, i.e. permitting non-standard base-pairing at the 3rd anti-codon position. The record is from RNAcentral. Lineage: Bacteria; Bacillati; Bacillota; Clostridia; Eubacteriales; Acutalibacteraceae.
GCGCCAUUAGCUCAGCUGGAUAGAGCACCGUCCUCCGACGGCGGGUGUCGCCGGUUCGAAUCCGGUGUGGCGCGCCA